RNAcentral lists this ribosomal RNA (253 nucleotides) under uncultured bacterium. RNAcentral's name for it is "partial 16S ribosomal RNA". It matches the Rfam family "Bacterial small subunit ribosomal RNA", at positions 524 to 776 of the family's 1533-position model. The record is from RNAcentral.
UACGAAGGACCCAAGCGUUAUCCGGAUUCAUUGGGUUUAAAGGGUGCGUAGGCGGAUUGAUAAGUCAGUGGUGAAAGCCCAUCGCUUAACGAUGGAACUGCCAUUGAUACUGUCGAUCUUGAGUACAUUUGAAGUGGGCGGAAUGUGUCAUGUAGCGGUGAAAUGCUUAGAUAUGACACAGAACACCGAUUGCGAAGGCAGCUCACUAAACUGUAACUGACGCUGAGGCACGAAAGCGUGGGGAUCAAACAGG